RNAcentral lists this ribosomal RNA (1302 nucleotides) under Triticum aestivum (bread wheat). RNAcentral describes it as "partial small subunit ribosomal RNA". The record is from RNAcentral. Lineage: Eukaryota; Viridiplantae; Streptophyta; Magnoliopsida; Poales; Poaceae.
AUGGCCGGAAGCCGCCGCCGCCGCCGCGGAAGAGCGCGGCCGCCGCAGCAGGGCGCCGAACCCUCGCCGCUGGCAGACGCCACUCUCAUCUCCAGAGAAGUUGCUACUGUAGAGAGGCCCUCUAAGAACACCUGCCUCGCCUCAGCCUCAGCCUCUACCUCCUUGGCUAUAUCUGGACCUUAUGUUUGUGCAGAUCUCCUGGACAGCCUGCUUCAUGAAAUCAUUGCUCUCUUUAACUCAUUCCGUGACUUCCUUGCUUUCGCUGGCACCUGCCGCUCUUGGCGCGCUGCAGUCUCUACCUUUCCCUCUGUGUAUACAUUCGGCUUCCCGCCAUUCCACUUGAAACCAGACGGUCCUUAUGUUCGUCCACAUAGCAGCGGUAUCAAGCCCAUCCUUUUGUCUAAUUGCAAAUGGCAGCUCAGCGAUCCCAGCAAGAAAAACUUAUCCCUUGUGUGUUCAGUGUCUGAAAAUAAUCCAAAUACAAUGCACUAUUUGGGUUGCUCAUAUGGGUAUCUUAUCUUCUCCUACGAGGAGCACUGCCUCCUUGUCAAUGUGUACACUGGUACCAAGGUGAAGCCCCCCAAACUCCCACCCAACAACAGACUUGGGUACUUAUGUGGCAUAGGCAUCCUUACAGCUCCACUAAAUUCACCCAACUCUCGCCUCCUCCUUUGCUCGAAAGCUUCCAUGUUUGAGUGGCAGGUUGGAACAAACUCCUGGUCAGAGCACCCUCUUGCUCUUGAUCGUGAAAACAUCUAUCAGAUUGUGUUCUUCAAAGGUGAUAUCUUUGUCAUAGAUGGUCUUAUGAGGCUCCACACUAUACACUUGACGCCUCAGUUCAGCAUGCAAGAAGUUGCAAUUAAAUUGGAGUUUGCGCCUCUUCAUUCAUGGUUAGUGGUCUGUGGUGACAUGCUUCUCAUGGUUGACCAAGUGUUAAGCUAUGGCGAAUUGAAUGGCUCAGUUGACACAACCAUUAAGGUCUUCCGCCUCGACUUUUCUGUUGAACCAGCUGAGUGGGUGAAGCUGGAGAAGCUGGAAAAUCAUGCUCUGUUUGUUAGCGUCGAUAGGAGGAAUCCUACAUUUUCUUGCAUGAGCCCGGAAAGAUGGGGAGGAAAGAGUAACUGCAUUUAUUUUGCCAGGCUAUCUGAAGGUCCUGAUGAAACUUGGACUGCCGUCGAUCUUGGUCAGCCAGUGCUAAAAGACACAGUUUUCCCCAUCUACUAUGGUAUGGUGCUCCCUCCUGACUGCAGCCUACUAAGUAGCCUAUGGGUAUUCCCCAAUUUAAUUUAUGGUUCUGGCUAG